AUCCGGCUGAUGAGUCCCAAAUAGGAAGAAACGCUCGUACUGGAU
RNAcentral lists this non-coding RNA (45 nucleotides) under Schistosoma margrebowiei. Lineage: Eukaryota; Metazoa; Platyhelminthes; Trematoda; Strigeidida; Schistosomatidae. The record is from RNAcentral.